Triticum aestivum (bread wheat) is the source of this 870-nucleotide long non-coding RNA. RefSeq lists it as uncharacterized. The transcript has 2 exons. NCBI's taxonomy places the organism in Eukaryota, Viridiplantae, Streptophyta, Magnoliopsida, Poales, Poaceae. The record is from RefSeq and is a predicted model, not a curated record.
UGUCAGAUGAAAAACAACAACACAAGAAGCGAGCAUGUCAAUCAUGGGUAUUAUUAUUGUUCAACUUUUCCAAUAGUGUUGCAGAAAACAUGGUUGUUGCUGAUUGAACGGAUGUUAUGUUUUCAAAGAGAAUUCAAGAUCGUCUUUUAUGUAUUUAUAUGUGCUGAUGCAAUAAAAUUUGAUUGAAUCUUCUUUGAAAUUUAUUUCAGUACUAAUGCAUAACUAAGUAAUGAUAUCUAGCUUGAGCAGCUCAACUACGACGCACUGGAUACAGGCUAGGUAUACUGACAUCUUACGCAUAUCUUCGCUUUUAUUUCAGUUAUCACUUUUGGUGUAAAACUCUUUGUCUUCCAUUUUAUACAUGAUGUUACUUAGCUAUAUCAGUUAUGUUGUCCUGACCGGAUAGUUAUCUUUUCUGUAAGCGACACAGGUGGUUGCUGAUUGGUUGACAUUUUAAUUUGGACCUUACUUAAGUCGUACAAGUGUAGUGACACCAUUUUCCAUGUUGGUUUGUUUUGGUAAGCAUUUUCAUGUAUAAAAUGGAAUUGCCGGUCUGCGACUUUAUUACAUAUAGCUUUCAGCCUGAUUGAUCUUCAACAAAACAACAAACAAAAAGGAAAAGUAUGAUUACCGCAUAUCCCUGCUACUGCUCGUAUGGUAGUAUUUAGUAUAUAUCAUUAUUUGAUAUUGCAACUAAUUUAAUUCUUGUCAGGAUGCUUGUCCUAUGAAUGUGAUGCCCUCCACAAGAAACAGCCAGCUGCAUUAGGCAGACAUAAAUCUUCUUUGUUUCGGAACAUGGUGGCCCUUUGGUAGAGAAAUAGACGGGCGCAGUAACGCGUGCCAUCAAUGCUCUAGUAAAAGUAGCAAGGG